Molecule: transfer RNA, 102 nt
Organism: Termitomyces sp. J132
Lineage: Eukaryota; Fungi; Basidiomycota; Agaricomycetes; Agaricales; Lyophyllaceae
Rfam family: tRNA
About the family: Transfer RNA (tRNA) molecules are approximately 80 nucleotides in length. Their secondary structure includes four short double-helical elements and three loops (D, anti-codon, and T loops).
Source: Rfam
GCCUCCUUGGCUCAGUUGGCUAGAGCGCAGGUCUCAUAGAUAUAUGAGGUAGCUUGGCUACGUACCAUCCUGAGGUCGCAAGUUCGAGCCUUGCAGGGGGCA